RNAcentral lists this long non-coding RNA (3118 nucleotides) under Daphnia magna. Its description in RNAcentral is "uncharacterized LOC116922142, transcript variant X3". Lineage: Eukaryota; Metazoa; Arthropoda; Branchiopoda; Diplostraca; Daphniidae. The record is from RNAcentral.
GAUGGGGAGGAACAAAAUAAAGAAGAAAAAAGUAAAUGGUAGCCUGGUGCUCAGCGUGAAGCUGAGCGGGAGGCAGAGUUGGGGUCGGUCUGGGAGAAGAACCAUUAUCAUGGUGGGACAAUUUUGUCCCCAUUUUCCGCAGCCUAAUCUAACAGAGAGGUCGAAAAGUGGAUAGAAGAUGGUAGGAUAUAGUUUCAGGUCAAUGGUGUGUAUACGGCAUUCCAAUUUGCACAGUGGAAGAAGAAAAGAAGGCGGGCAAGGGUUGCUCUGUAUAUAUAAAAAAGGAGAAAAAGAGAAAAGAACUGAAACCUCCCUUCAGACUAAUGACUGUUAUGUGCCCCCAACAGACUGGCAGUGGUGCCCCGACUAAGGAGGGGGGCCCACACACAAGCAUUCGCCGACACUUCUUUUUGCUUUAGCUCAUGCUGUGACCUCUCUAUAUGCUGCAUGUUCUUAAUAGACACAUUUUCGACCAAAGCCUACUGAUGCUAUCCCCUUCUGUACAUUUUUACCUACGUAGGCUAUAUCCUUUUUUUCCCUUCUUUAUCUCCUAUGGCUCUGUAUAGGCUGUAUAGCUGUACGUAUAUCUAGAUACGGCUCAACUUCACAUAUUUCCCUACCCCGUCUGCAAGUAGUGGUGGGCCAAUUAACCAUGAAAUGAGUAAAUGACCCUAAUGUCAGAUCUCUUCAUUAUUUUCUUGUCCACUCCAGGACACCGACUCGACCUGCAGCGGUAGCUUCUCAUUUAUUUUCUUUCAUCAUUGUCAAGUGUUUGACGUUUUAACAUGUGCAAAAAUGUACACAGCUGACGCAGGGUAUACAACCAAGUCUAAACAAGCCUAAAGUUGUCUGCAAACAGCCAAGGUUUUCGUUGUGCUGCUAUUUCUCACAUCACCUCUUGCCUGCAGUGUGAAAGAAUUAUUUUAAGCGUUUUUUUUUUUUCGUAGUCUCUGGUGGCAGAAUUAAUGGAAUCCUAUCACAAAUUUGUGAUUUACCUGUCGUUUGCCAAUGGUUAAUCACGUUAUUAAAAUUAGUUUAUUGAAAGUAACGAUUUUUUUUUUCCUGGAAGAAAAUGGAAUGCACCUACACUUGGUUCGGGACUGAACGUUUUCCGUAACAGAAUAUAAUAAAGCUUUUCACUUGUGAAAAUCUCUGGCAUUAAAAGAACAUUCCACUAUGGCAUGAAUGACCAUAUAGCCAAUGGUUUAUCUAUGAGACGUGUUUCGUAAGUUUAUUUAUGGUUGUCUAAUAUUUUCUGUGCGGCAGUACAAGCAAAAAAAUAAAAGUAAAGAAGAAGAAAAAAUGGGCAGUAGGAUAAGCCUCUUGCAAACGCAUUAUUUGUGAACCGAUUCAUGAACGGCGUGGAGAUGACCCUUGAGGGAAGUAUGCCAACCAGGUCCAAAACCAGGUGCUCUUUCAACACGAGAAAGGUCCUUUUUUCGCUUGCUUCUUUAUUGAUGCACAACAGAGGACAGUUGGCCUGGUGUGUGUCAUUUUAGGCUGGCGGAAGAUGGACGGAACGAGGGCGACGAGUCUGUGGAACAGUGGCGAUGUUUGGAAAAGUGCUUUCAUUUCAGCAAUUGCCUGAGCUCGGCUUUCUUCUACCAGUUUUUCGAAAAUCUUCUUUUUGAGUUUGAAAAACCGCCGCUCUGCUAUCGUCUGGAAAUCGACAUUUCGAUAGAUCGGGGCAGACGACAGGGUAUAAUAGUAUGUGAUACCACCCUGGGUUUUGGCAAAACUCCCAGUUUCUAAAUAUUUCUUCUUCACCUUUUUUUUUCGGGAUGGAUUUCUAAAAUUCUUUUUACCCUUUCUGCAUUUUCCAUGAUCGGCUAAAGGUUUUAUGGGAAAUCAUGUUUGCUAUGCUGCACCGAUUUUUGCUAUGUGUGUAUAUUUAAAUAAAAGCAAAUUCAUGGCGAAACCAGGAGAAAUAAGAUAAACAAAAAACGAUCUCAAUUAAAAGAAAUUUGUUUUAUCGUUUCUUUUUGGUGUUCACCUCGAAUUGGUCUGUCACAAGGUAUGUGUGUAUAAUGUGCGAUGCCUUCAAGAUGAAUCCUGUUCAUUAUCAAUAUUGGCUGUCUUCAUUGAGGAAACCGAAAAUUCAAGUUUUCAUAACUCUAUGAGACAUCUGCAAAUUAAGUUAAUAACCUUUUUAUGCAACAGAGAAUUACGUUACACAUUUUUGUUGACUGUUUGAUAAACGAUUACUGUAUUGUUUUUGCUCAUAAUUAAGACCCUGUUCCACACUUCCUUCUAGCAAUGCGACGUAUAGAUAGAAAGACAUGAUUUUUAGGUUUCCUUAAUUGCUGAGCAACCAUUAGUGGAGAGUGGCACCUGACAUUGGUCAAGUGACUUGGCGGAAAAAAGGCACAGUUGAUAUCGCACCAUUAUGCUAUGAUGAAGGAAUAAUAUUUUCCUUGUAUUAAUUUAGCUGCAUAAAACGCCUAUUUUAUUUGUGCAGUCGGUCAUGAAAAAACUGCUCACCACCCACAGCUGUUGUUUAUGCCCUGUGCCACAGUUUAAAUCGGUGUCUUUUGCAUAAUAUCACCCCUUGUUGCAGAUCACGUUGAUCUUUUUCCAGAACCUACAAGGAGAAUAUUUAAGAAAUCACAUGCAUUUGGUCUUUUUCAAUUAGAGCAGUUUUAGCUCGUAAAAAGAAAAAUCCGGGAAUUUUAACGGCGCUUGUAGAGGCUUUAGAGAACAACUGGUUAAGGCUGCCUAAAGCCCAUAAACGUAUUGUAUGUACCCUCAUCUGAAAAGAAAGAAAAAAAAACUCGACCACUCCUUCUAAGGUUCGUUCCCCUAUAUUCAUAGGCUAUAUGUGUAUAGCCACCGUCCCCUAAUCUUAGCUACCACCCGCUGUUGUACCUUCCUACUCAUUUUUCGUCGACCGUCACGGAUUAUAUUUCCUACUUUCAUUAGACAUAUUGGAACUUUCCCCCCUUAAAAUAUAUGCUAAUUAUCCUGAUCUGUUGGAACUAGACAUUUUGAGCUGCUCGACAUAUAUACAGGCUCGCACUGACAAACAAUUAUCUGCCAUCUUCCACAUUAUAAAACCUUAACCGCCAUUGGCUGCCAACACAUUUGCCUGUGUUGGCAAGUUGCCGCUCAGCUUUGUACU